Molecule: ribosomal RNA, 255 nt
Filed under: uncultured bacterium
Lineage: Bacteria
Description: partial 16S ribosomal RNA
Rfam family: Bacterial small subunit ribosomal RNA
Source: RNAcentral
UACGUAGGGUGCGAGCGUUUGUCCGGAAUUAUUGGGCGUAAAGGGCUCGUAGGCGGUCUGUCACGUCGGGAGUGAAAACACGGGGCUUAACCCCGUGCCUGCUUCCGAUACGGGCAGACUAGAGGUAUGCAGGGGAGAACGGAAUUCCUGGUGUAGCGGUGAAAUGCGCAGAUAAUCAGGAGGAACACCGGUGGCGAAGGCGGUUCUCUGGGCAUUACCUGACGCUGAGGAGCGAAAGUGUGGGGAGCGAACAGG